AGAGUUUGAUCCUGGCUCAGGAUGAACGCUAGCGGCAGGCUUAACACAUGCAAGUCGAGGGGCAGCACGAGUAGCAAUACUUGGUGGCGACCGGCGCAAGGGUGCGUAACGCGUGAGCAACAUGCCCGUAUCAGGGGGAUAAUCCAGGGAAACUUGGUCUAAUACCCCAUAGUAAUCAUAUCAGGCAUCUGGUAUGAUUUAAAGCUUAGGUGGAUACGGAUUGGCUCGUGUGACAUUAGCUAGAUGGUAAGGUAACGGCUUACCAUGGCUAUGAUGUCUAGGGGUUCUGAGAGGAAGGUCCCCCACACUGGAACUGAGACACGGUCCAGACUCCUACGGGAGGCAGCAGUGAGGAAUAUUGGACAAUGGAUGGAAAUCUGAUCCAGCCAUGCCGCGUGAAGGACGACGGUCCUAUGGAUUGUAAACUUCUUUUGUAUGGGAGCAAUAAGGUCUACGUGUAGAUCGAUGAGAGUACCAUACGAAUAAGCAUCGGCUAACUCCGUGCCAGCAGCCGCGGUAAUACGGAGGAUGCGAGCGUUAUCCGGAUUUAUUGGGUUUAAAGGGUGCGUAGGCGGUUGUAUAAGUCAGCGGUGAAAUUUUCCGGCUUAACCGGGAGACUGCCGUUGAUACUGUAUAGCUUGAAUACGGUUGCUGUGAGUGGAAUGUGUGGUGUAGCGGUGAAAUGCAUAGAUAUCACACAGAAUAUCGAUUGCGAAGGCAGCUCACAAAGCCGUUAUUGACGCUGAUGCACGAAAGUGUGGGGAUCAAACAGGAUUAGAUACCCUGGUAGUCCACACUGU
RNAcentral lists this ribosomal RNA (800 nucleotides) under uncultured bacterium. RNAcentral's name for it is "bacterial SSU rRNA". It matches the Rfam family "Bacterial small subunit ribosomal RNA", at positions 8 to 803 of the family's 1533-position model. The record is from RNAcentral.